RNAcentral lists this ribosomal RNA (495 nucleotides) under uncultured bacterium. RNAcentral's name for it is "partial 16S ribosomal RNA". It matches the Rfam family "Bacterial small subunit ribosomal RNA", at positions 28 to 523 of the family's 1533-position model. The record is from RNAcentral.
GAUGAACGCUGGCGGCGUGCUUAACACAUGCAAGUCGAACGAAGCGAUUUAGCGGAAGUUUUCGGAUGGAAGUUAAAUUGACUGAGUGGCGGACGGGUGAGUAACGCGUGGGUAACCUGCCUCACACUGGGGGACAACAGUUAGAAAUGACUGCUAAUACCGCAUAAGCGCACAGGACCGCAUGGUCCGGUGUGAAAAACUCCGGUGGUGUGAGAUGGACCCGCGUUUGAUUAGCUAGUUGGUGGGGUAACGGCCUACCAAGGCGACGAUCAAUAGCCGACCUGAGAGGGUGACCGGCCACAUUGGGACUGAGACACGGCCCAAACUCCUACGGGAGGCAGCAGUGGGGAAUAUUGCACAAUGGGGGAAACCCUGAUGCAGCGACGCCGCGUGAGUGAAGAAGUAUUUCGGUAUGUAAAGCUCUAUCAGCAGGGAAGAAAAUGACGGUACCUGACUAAGAAGCCCCGGCUAACUUCGUGCCAGCCGCCGCGGUAA